GAUGAACGCUGUCGGCGUGCCUAACACAUGCAAGUCGAGCGAUCUUCUUCGGAAGAGAGCGGCGGACGGGUGAGUAACGCGUGGGUAACCUGCCCUGUACACACGGAUAACAUACCGAAAGGUAUGCUAAUACGGGAUAACAUAAGAAAGUCGCAUGGCUUUCUUAUCAAAGCUUUUGCGGUACAGGAUGGACCCGCGUCUGAUUAGCUAGUUGGUAAGGUAACGGCUUACCAAGGCGACGAUCAGUAGCCGACCUGAGAGGGUGAUCGGCCACAUUGGAACUGAGACACGGUCCAAACUCCUACGGGAGGCAGCAGUGGGGAAUAUUGCACAAUGGGCGAAAGCCUGAUGCAGCAACGCCGCGUGAGCGAUGAAGGCCUUCGGGUCGUAAAGCUCUGUCCUCAAGGAAGAUAAUGACGGUACUUGAGGAGGAAGCCCCGGCUAACUACGUGCCAGCAGCCGCGGUAAUACGUAGGGGGCUAGCGUUAUCCGGAAUUACUGGGCGUAAAGGGUGCGUAGGCGGUCUUUCAAGUCAGAAGUGAAAGGCUACGGCUCAACCGUAGUAAGCUUUUGAAACUGUAAGACUUGAGUGCAGGAGAGGAGAGUGGAAUUCCUAGUGUAGCGGUGAAAUGCGUAGAUAUUAGGAGGAACACCAGUUGCGAAGG
This 665-nucleotide ribosomal RNA is filed under the name uncultured Clostridium sp. RNAcentral's name for it is "bacterial SSU rRNA". It matches the Rfam family "Bacterial small subunit ribosomal RNA", at positions 28 to 721 of the family's 1533-position model. Lineage: Bacteria; Bacillati; Bacillota; Clostridia; Eubacteriales; Clostridiaceae. The record is from RNAcentral.